AAGUAGGGGAAGUGACCUGCCCAAUGUCAUACAACCCUUCUAGGGGUCACAUUUGAGGAAGGAUGUUGACAAUCCAGAGAGCCCCAGAAGUAAGCAUCCAGGAUGGUGAAGAGCUUCAAACCCAUACAUAAUACGAUCCACUGAAACUGGGAAUGUUUAGCCAAGAGGUGAAGAGAUUCAGAGAAGGCAUGAUUAUUGUCUUCAGGAAGCUGAUAGAAAGGUUCCUAUGAGUCCCCGAUAUUACCGUCUUGCAACAGCAGCACACCAGACUCUCAGAAGAAGAGAAGCAGGAGAACAGGCAGCCAGAAAUCAGACUCACAUACUCGGCCCUGCCUGCCACUCUUCUUCCUCCACGGUGUGCAAGAUGGAAGAUGUUCUGAUUACCUCUUCCCCUGAGACCCAACAUCAAGUUAAAAAAGACUGCCGUACUGGUGAACUCUGGAACAGUCCAUUUCUAGAACCUGACACCUCUCGGGGCAAGAGUCUGGGAGUCAAAGAGUUACACCUUAUUACAAGGGUGGGAGGUUCAGUAUGGGAAGGGGGACAAUAUACAUAGAAAUUAUUGUGACAUACAAACAAAAGGCAUCAAUGACAAUUUUACAGUGCUUUGUCAAGCUUAAACUAUUGGCAUUUGUCUUUUAGUGGGGAUAGUUUGUCUUCUUGAGAGCUGGGAGAAAAAAAAUCCUUUGAGUGGAGGGAUCUGGUAUUUGUGGGUCAUUGUUGAACACUUAGGCCAGGCCAAGUGCUAUAGGGGACACAUAGUCCCUGAAUUCAGAGAAGCUUGAAGCCAGAGACCCAUCUUAUACACACUAAACAACCAGAGAACAAGUCAGGAUCAGAAUAUCCUUCAGGGCCCAAAUGUGCUGUGAUUACAGAAGAUUUGCUGUUAAAGAAUGGAGUAGAGUAGAAUUUUAGACAUGUAAAGGAACUUAGGACAUAAGAGUGUUGAAGCAUAAAGUGCUCUAGAUAAAACCAUUCCUGUCAGAGAUGGAAGGGAUCUUAGUGAUCAUCUAAUUCAAUCCCCUAGGGCAAGUAGGGGACUAAGCCAUAGAGCAUGGAGCACUGGGCCUGGAGUCGGAUCUUCCUGAGUUCAAAUCCAGCCUCAGACACUUACUAGCUGUGACCCUGGA
This is a long non-coding RNA of Phascolarctos cinereus (koala), 1130 nucleotides long. RefSeq lists it as uncharacterized. The record is from RefSeq and is a predicted model, not a curated record. NCBI's taxonomy places the organism in Eukaryota, Metazoa, Chordata, Mammalia, Diprotodontia, Phascolarctidae.